UCGUUCGAUCACCGAAGCUAAGCAUCGUAGAGCCAGGUCAGUACUUAGAUGGGGGACCGCUGUGGAACACCUGAUACUGUAAG
This is a non-coding RNA of Acanthosepion pharaonis, 83 nucleotides long. The record is from the annotation of a GenBank genome assembly. Lineage: Eukaryota; Metazoa; Mollusca; Cephalopoda; Sepiida; Sepiidae.